AAAGAGAAUUCAACCAGCUGCUCUGGUCAAAUUGGCAGAUACAUUUGUAUUGAUGAUAAAAGCAAAGGUUCAAGCAAGGAUGGACUCACUAAUCUCAUGGAAAUAUUUGAUUCUAUUGCAGAGAAUAAAUGUGCCACUGUCUUUCGUCGACGGCUUGAUAGCCAGAAGAGGAGAAGAUACAAGAAAAUGAUUUUGCAGCAU
This 201-nucleotide unclassified non-coding RNA is filed under the name Hevea brasiliensis (rubber tree). Lineage: Eukaryota; Viridiplantae; Streptophyta; Magnoliopsida; Malpighiales; Euphorbiaceae. The record is from RNAcentral.